This 209-nucleotide ribosomal RNA is filed under the name uncultured bacterium. RNAcentral describes it as "partial 16S ribosomal RNA". It matches the Rfam family "Bacterial small subunit ribosomal RNA", at positions 270 to 476 of the family's 1533-position model. The record is from RNAcentral.
AAGACUCCGAUGGGUAGGGGGCCUGAGAGGGUUAUCCCCCACACUGGUACUGAGACACGGACCAGACUCCUACGGGAGGCAGCAGUGAGGAAUAUUGGUCAAUGGAGGCAACUCUGAACCAGCCAUGCCGCGUGCAGGAUGACUGCCCUAUGGGUUGUAAACUGCUUUUAUGUAGGAAGAAACCUCAGUACGUGUACUGAGCUGACGGU